Molecule: ribosomal RNA, 555 nt
Filed under: uncultured bacterium
Lineage: Bacteria
Description: partial 16S ribosomal RNA
Rfam family: Bacterial small subunit ribosomal RNA
Source: RNAcentral
UGGGGAAUUUUGGACAAUGGGCGAAAGCCUGAUCCAGCAAUGCCGCGUGUGUGAAGAAGGCCUUCGGGUUGUAAAGCACUUUUGUCCGGAAAGAAAUCCUUGGCUCUAAUACAGUCGGGGGAUGACGGUACCGGAAGAAUAAGCACCGGCUAACUACGUGCCAGCAGCCGCGGUAAUACGUAGGGUGCAAGCGUUAAUCGGAAUUACUGGGCGUAAAGCGUGCGCAGGCGGUUUGCUAAGACCGAUGUGAAAUCCCCGGGCUCAACCUGGGAACUGCAUUGGUGACUGGCAGGCUAGAGUAUGGCAGAGGGGGGUAGAAUUCCACGUGUAGCAGUGAAAUGCGUAGAGAUGUGGAGGAAUACCGAUGGCGAAGGCAGCCCCCUGGGCCAAUACUGACGCUCAUGCACGAAAGCGUGGGGAGCAAACAGGAUUAGAUACCCUGGUAGUCCACGCCCUAAACGAUGUCACUAGUUGUUGGGGAUUCAUUUCCUUAGUAACGUAGCUAACGCGUGAAGUUGACCGCCUGGGGAGUACGGUCGCAAGAUUAAACUCAAU